GGAAGAUGACUCCUAGACACAAGUUGUUAUUUGAAAUAGUAAACAAAAAACUGUUGUCCAGAGGAGGAAGAAGAUUAAAGGCCAAUUUUAAGGAUCUAUGGGUCAUGAAUGCCCUAGAUAUGUGUGAAAAAGUAGUCCUUCCUGCUUUGAUGAUCAAUCAAAUGAGAAGGGUAACUUCACAUAAGACUUGACCGCAUGGGCUUGCAUAUGGCUUCCUUCU
Molecule: long non-coding RNA, 220 nt
Filed under: Capsicum annuum
Lineage: Eukaryota; Viridiplantae; Streptophyta; Magnoliopsida; Solanales; Solanaceae
Description: long non-coding RNA (CANN_LNC020781)
Source: RNAcentral